Molecule: long non-coding RNA, 1700 nt
Filed under: Homo sapiens (human)
Lineage: Eukaryota; Metazoa; Chordata; Mammalia; Primates; Hominidae
Description: HSALNT0359641
Source: RNAcentral
AGAACUGGCAGCUGUUAGGAGAAGACGGGGUGAUUUGCAGAUGGCAGUCCUGGACUUGGAAGUGCAGAUGUGGGGCCCCAGGAACACUCAAGAUGCAUGUGUUUGGGGAGCAUAUGUAUUGUCCCCACAAAUCACUUUCUGCGCUCCAAGAGGGGCUAGUUGUUGCCGGUGGGAAGCCAAGCCCAGGUGCCUCCGGGUUCAGGUGACUGGAAAAGCCAGGGCAGGACUGGAGUAUUACUUAUCGGAGCUGCGUCUGACACCGGCCCGACACCUCGUAAAAUAGGGAACUGCGCCUCUCUGCCUCACCCCGCGCCGCUCGCCAGGCCACCAAGCCGGGAAAGGCGGAGCGAGGGGAAGCCGAACAAGCGGGAUCGGCCGUCCGCGCGCGGAGGGGUUCCUAGACUGGAGAGCAGAAACUACCCGCGUCCCGGGACUUGGCAAGCCCCGUCGAGCCCCGGGACACAACGGGGAAGGGAGAGACAAAGCCGAGCCGCCUCUCCUGGCCAGCCCGGAACCGAAAGUGGGUCCGUAGAGAGCCCAGAGUCCUGGGGGAACAGAUGGGCAAAGGGCUCUAGGAGGUGAUGGAACUCAGGCCCGAAGGGCAGGCAGCCCACAGGAUACCAAGCCUUAACGAACUACGCCAGAAGAAUGGGCGUAGGGCCCACAGCCCCUCACACAACCCAGGCCAAGCUCCCUCGUACACUCAGACCAGGAGAAGAAACAGACACGCAAUACACAAGCCCCGCUCCCUUGGAGCCUACACUUGGGCGAACACACCACUGCUGUUUGCAGUAUCCCGAGACAGGCCCGGCAGGCGUGAGCUAAGAGGCCUCGGGCCCGAACUUGGGAUUUGAGGCUCUCUCACAUCGCCGGUCCCAGCGGCAGCGCCUGAGGCACAGCCAAGACCAUCCGAGGUCCCCGGGCCGCGCGCAGGUAGCAGACUUCUUCAGAACUGGGGGAGCUAAAGAGAGAGUGGGCUUAGAGCCCAGGCCUCCCUGGAUCCCAGAUCCUCGCCUCCGCCUACAGCCAAGCCCCUCAGCUUUUGCCCAGAGCUGCUGACUUCCUCGCCGCCUCCCUGCGCAAUGGGACCUAGAGAUAAGCCCCAAGCCCGGGUGCUAGUCCAGGCAGAGUCGGGUGCUAGUCCAGGCAGAGUCCAGUGCUAGUCCGCGGCCUCAACAGAGCUGUCGGCUGGGCUCCGGAAGCCCACCCGGAACCUGAUGGAGGCAGCGAAUUCCUCAGAGCAGAGGACACUGCGGAGAGGCUCGAAUCCACUUCCCACAUUGUGCGGGACCGAGCGCGCAGGGCGCUCUCGCGUGGCCUCCUUAGCUCGGGUUCAGCCGAGGCUCUCACGUACACUUCGUUACCCCUUCCCCCCGCCGCAGCUCUGGUCCUUCCUUCCACUGGCUCUCUUCUCUGGCCUAUGGAAACAACGAACUACUUUUCGCCUUUCAAGGCCCGGGUCCCAAGCCACCUCCUCUGUGAAGCCGCCAACACCCUGGUAGCUGCCUCUCAGUGUUUUGCAACUGGCACGGCCCUGUCCCUCGGUCCGCUUCUACUAGCGCUGGGGGUGCUGCGAGUCUUGCCCACUAGACUAGGAGCUCCUUGAGGGCAGGAACCGAAUCUGAUUCGUUUCCAUUUUCCCAGCCCCCCUGCGCGGCCUGGCGCAGAAAAGACGCGCAAUAAACAUUUGCUGAAUUGAA